UGGUGCAUCGAACCCACUGAGAACUGCCUCCAACACAGCAAAUGAACUACUCGUGUUACCGUUAUCAUGAAGGGAGGCAGAGGAAGAGCUCUACAUGUGACACGCUGAGCAGAGAGCGAGCAGGAGGGGGCCAGAAGGAAGCUAUCGCUAUCCGCUAAGCUAGCACGGUGGCUAACGUUAGCGGAACUAAACAACGUGAAAAUAAGACUGUUGGAUUUGUAGCGAUACGUCGCUAAAAGAAGGAGAGAUCCGAGUGUUUAAAUGUGUAAGAUGUACAGCAGGUGGGAGAGGGCGGAGUGAAGCGCUGUGGAGAUGGCGUCUUCUGUACACCUGUUCUGGCGGUAGGUGAAUUGGAGGGGGUCCAGUGUGGGUGGUAAGCAGGUUUUCAGAUGAGCCAAGACCAGCCUCUCAUACACUUCAUGAUGAUGGGUGUAAGUGCAGCGGGGCGAAAGUCGCUAAGGCUCGCUGCAGUGGCGUGUUUGGGCACUGGCACGAUAGAGGUGGCUUUAAAGCACGUUGGCACAGCUGCUUGGGCCAGUGACAGGUUGAAGAUGUCAGUCAGGACCCCAGUCAGCUGCCCAGCACAGGCCUGGAGCACACGUCCGGGAUGCCGUCAGGGCCCGCAGCCUUACGACAAUCCCAAUUGUACUUGAUCCCAGAUAUCCAGACCUCGUGAUAAUGUCCUGUUCAGGGACAACGGUGAUCAGAAGAACCAACAUCAGACACAUCCGGGUAUUUGGACCGUGCAUGAGCAGAUGGGGAGUUCAGAACUCCGUGAUCAACGUGCACAGGUCCACCACGUUCUGGCUCUAUGUGGAUGUUUCAAUGUUAGUCAACCUGCCCUGACCUGUGUGACACUGUCCGUCUAACUGGGAAAAGGGAGGCUUGUUUCUCUUAGUUGCAUCACACUGUGCACCAGAUGUGUUGAGUCAAAUGGAAAUCAAAAAGAUAUUAAAUUAGAAUUUACACAAUAUUUAUUAUAUAUAAAGUGUCAUACAGUCAGAUUUUUUAAUUACAUCAGAACUAUUAUGACAUUGGUUCUAAUAUAAAGACAU
Molecule: long non-coding RNA, 1055 nt
Organism: Cyclopterus lumpus (lumpfish)
Lineage: Eukaryota; Metazoa; Chordata; Actinopteri; Perciformes; Cyclopteridae
Exons: 3
Source: RefSeq, a predicted model, not a curated record